This 74-nucleotide transfer RNA is filed under the name Bradyrhizobium betae. RNAcentral describes it as "tRNA-Ser". It matches the Rfam family "tRNA". From Rfam's summary of the family: Transfer RNA (tRNA) molecules are approximately 80 nucleotides in length. The record is from RNAcentral. Lineage: Bacteria; Pseudomonadati; Pseudomonadota; Alphaproteobacteria; Hyphomicrobiales; Nitrobacteraceae.
GCAGGACGUAGCUCAUGGAGAGCGUCGGGCUUGAACACCCGAAGGCAUCGGUUCGAUUCCGGUCUCUUGCACAA